RNAcentral lists this ribosomal RNA (478 nucleotides) under uncultured bacterium. RNAcentral describes it as "partial 16S ribosomal RNA". It matches the Rfam family "Bacterial small subunit ribosomal RNA", at positions 28 to 507 of the family's 1533-position model. The record is from RNAcentral.
GAUGAACGCUGGCGGCGUGCUUAACACAUGCAAGUCGAACGGGAAAUAUUUCAUUGAGCCUUCGGUGGAUUUGAUUUAUUUCUAGUGGCGGACGGGUGAGUAACGCGUGGGUAACCUGCCUUAUACAGGGGGAUAACAGUCAGAAAUGGCUGCUAAUACCGCAUAAGCGCACAGAGCUGCAUGGCUCAGUGUGAAAAACUCCGGUGGUAUAAGAUGGACCCGCGUUGGAUUAGCUAGUUGGUGGGGUAACGGCCCACCAAGGCGACGAUCCAUAGCCGGCCUGAGAGGGUGAACGGCCACAUUGGGACUGAGACACGGCCCAGACUCCUACGGGAGGCAGCAGUGGGGAAUAUUGCACAAUGGGGGAAACCCUGAUGCAGCGACGCCGCGUGAAGGAAGAAGUAUCUCGGUAUGUAAACUUCUAUCAGCAGGGAAGAUAGUGACGGUACCUGACGAAGAAGCCCCGGCUAACUACGUG